Molecule: transfer RNA, 73 nt
Filed under: Hahella chejuensis KCTC 2396
Lineage: Bacteria; Pseudomonadati; Pseudomonadota; Gammaproteobacteria; Oceanospirillales; Hahellaceae
Also listed under: 1 other name
Rfam family: tRNA
About the family: Transfer RNA (tRNA) molecules are approximately 80 nucleotides in length. Their secondary structure includes four short double-helical elements and three loops (D, anti-codon, and T loops).
Source: Rfam by way of RNAcentral
AGCCCGGUAGCUUAACUGGCAGAGCAGCGGCUUCCAAACCCGCCAGGUGAUGGUUCGAAUCCGUCCCGGGUUG